UUCGGCAAGGGGGUCAUCCCGACUUACCAACCCGAUGCAAACUGCGAAUACCGGAGAAUGUUAUCACGGGAGACACACGGCGGGUGCUAACGUCCGUCGUGAAGAGGGAAACAACCCAGACCGCCAGUUAAGGUCCCAAAGUCAUGGUUAAGUGGGAAACGAUGUGGGAAGGCCCAGACAGCCAGGAUGUUGGCUUAGAAGCAGCCAUCAUUUAAAGAAAGCGUAAUAGCUCACUGGUCGAGUCGGCCUGCGCGGAAGAUGUAACGGGGC
RNAcentral lists this ribosomal RNA (270 nucleotides) under Escherichia coli. RNAcentral describes it as "partial 23S ribosomal RNA". It matches the Rfam family "Bacterial large subunit ribosomal RNA", at positions 914 to 1181 of the family's 2925-position model. The record is from RNAcentral. Lineage: Bacteria; Pseudomonadati; Pseudomonadota; Gammaproteobacteria; Enterobacterales; Enterobacteriaceae.